Molecule: long non-coding RNA, 376 nt
Organism: Xiphophorus hellerii (green swordtail)
Lineage: Eukaryota; Metazoa; Chordata; Actinopteri; Cyprinodontiformes; Poeciliidae
Exons: 3
Source: RefSeq, a predicted model, not a curated record
AUCCCCCGAGCUGCCUCCUGGAUCUGGCUCCGGAUCUGGAUGCGGGCAUCCUUUGGAUUUUGCGCUUAACAACACGGACCCCCACUGCAAAGAAAACUUAAUCGGGACAACAAUGGUGGCUGAAUACGCGGCUGCUGGUCGUGUAGGGGACCGGGGAGUGCGCUCGGUGUGACAUUCACUUGCACGCUGGUGUGGAGUUUUUAUUGUUCUGGUCCCGUAGACGCAGAGGCACAGCGGCGAAUCUGUGGAGAAGAUGUUGAGCCGAUUCAUGAGUGGCAGCCUCAGGAAUCUGGAGCGGGAAUACAGCUGCACUGUCAGGCUGCUGGACGAUACGGAAUAUACGUGCACCAUUCAGCAGGAUGCCAAAGGACAGUCU